RNAcentral lists this ribosomal RNA (676 nucleotides) under uncultured Hydnum. RNAcentral's name for it is "eukaryotic LSU rRNA". The stretch from base 240 to 393 matches the Rfam family "5.8S ribosomal RNA". The record is from RNAcentral. Lineage: Eukaryota; Fungi; Basidiomycota; Agaricomycetes; Cantharellales; Hydnaceae.
CUUGGUCAUUUAGAGGAAGUAAAAGUCGUAACAAGGUUUCCGUAGGUGAACUGCGGAAGGAUCAUUACUGUAAAAAGGGUUGAUGCUGGUAGUUUAUCUACAUGUGCUCACUCUUCUGAUUUAUUUACACCUGUGCACUUAAUUUUUUUCAAGGGUACUCGCCUUUGGAGCUUAAUAGCCCCUAACCCCUAUAUUGAAGUAAUGGAUGUUUAUCUGCCACAAGGUAAAAUUUUUAAUACAACUUUUAACAACGGAUCUCUUGGCUCUCGCAUCGAUGAAGAACGCAGCGAAAUGCGAUAAGUAAUGUGAAUUGCAGAAUUCAGUGAAUCAUCGAAUCUUUGAACGCACCUUGCGCUCUCUGGUAUUCCGGGGAGCACACCUGUUCGAGUGUUAUUAAGACUAUCAAACAAAGGUGUCUAUCUCUGUUUGGAUUUGGGCUUUGCUGCAUUAAUGUGGCUAGUCUUAAAUAUAUUAGCUGGUCCUUGUUGAGGGUUUUGGUUCUACUCAGCGUGAUAAUUAUCUAACGUUGAGGACAGUUUCAGACCUGGCCAUAGUGAAAACUGGCCAUAGCUCUCUCUGGAUUGCUUCUAAAUUGUCUUGAGGACAAUUGCUUAAUUUCUGACCUCGAAUCAGGUGGGACUACCCGCUGAACUUAAGCAUAUCAAUAAGCGGAGGA